Molecule: ribosomal RNA, 777 nt
Filed under: uncultured Neocallimastigales
Lineage: Eukaryota; Fungi; Neocallimastigomycota; Neocallimastigomycetes; Neocallimastigales
Description: partial large subunit ribosomal RNA
Rfam family: Eukaryotic large subunit ribosomal RNA
Source: RNAcentral
UAGAUGCGAGAGUAGAGCAUAUCAAUAAGCGGAGGAAAAGCAACUAACAAGGAUUCCCUUAGUAACGGCGAGUGAAGCGGGAAGAGCUCAAAUUUGAAAUCUUCAAGGUUCUACCUUGACGAAUUGUAGUUUAUAGAAGUGUUUUCUGUUGGAGUUUUGGUAAAAGUUCUUUGGAAUAGGACAUCAUAGAGGGUGAGAAUCCCGUAUUUGACCAUUAUUUCCAGCUGUGUGAUACACUUUCAAAGAGUCGGAUUGUUUGGGAAUGCAGUCCAAAAUGGGUGGUAAAUUUCAUCUAAAGCUAAAUACUGGCGAGAGACCGAUAGCGAACAAGUACCGUGAGGGAAAGAUGAAAAGAACUUUGAAAAGAGAGUUAAACAGUACGUGAAAUUGUCAAAAGGGAAGCGUUUGACACCAGUGUUGUUUUCUCGAAAAUCAAUUAAAAAUGGUGGGAUUUUGUGUUGUAUUGACCUUUAAUCAGCUUUCUUCACUUUUUUCCUAUCUUUUUUAAUGCACUUUUCGUUUAACAAGUCAACAUCAGUUUCUUUUGUUGUAAAAGAGGUCAUUGGAAGGUGGCUUUCUUUUCGGAGAAAGUGUUUAUAGCCUUUGGCUUCUGCAAUCGGAGAGAUUGAGGUCUGCAGCGUAGAUCCUUCGGGGUUAGAUACAUUUGUGCUAAGUUAUAGCCUUUCAUAGACAACUUGUUGACUAUGAUCAGUCAUGUAGCUUACUCGCUUAUGUCAUUUUACCUACGCUUAGGAUGUUGAUAGUCACAGCGUGUAC